RNAcentral lists this ribosomal RNA (253 nucleotides) under uncultured bacterium. RNAcentral's name for it is "partial 16S ribosomal RNA". It matches the Rfam family "Bacterial small subunit ribosomal RNA", at positions 524 to 776 of the family's 1533-position model. The record is from RNAcentral.
UACAGAGGGGGCAAGCGUUGUUCGGAAUUACUGGGCGUAAAGGGCUCGUAGGUGGCCAACUAAGUCAGACGUGAAAUCCCUCAGCUUAACUGGGGAACUGCGUCUGAUACUGGAUGGCUUGAGUUUGGGAGAGGGAUGCGGAAUUCCAGGUGUAGCGGUGAAAUGCGUAGAUAUCUGGAGGAACACCGGUGGCGAAGGCGGCAUCCUGGACCAACACUGACACUGAUGAGCGAAAGCCAGGGGAGCAAACGGG